Long non-coding RNA from Lethenteron reissneri (Far Eastern brook lamprey), 343 nucleotides. RefSeq lists it as uncharacterized. The record is from RefSeq and is a predicted model, not a curated record. NCBI's taxonomy places the organism in Eukaryota, Metazoa, Chordata, Hyperoartia, Petromyzontiformes, Petromyzontidae.
AGGUUUGCUCUAUAAAGGGGGGAAUCUCAGUGAACAUAUCCAAGUUUGCUUACGCCCCGAAGCCUCAGUGUGGACCGCAUGACGACAGAUGCAGUGGCCCUUCUGAGCUGCUGUCGCCUCAAGGCGAAUUGGCUGUGACUGCUGGUGACAAGAGUGUGGAUGACACGUCGGGGUCCAGAGAGUUGCCAAGGGGGGUGGACAAACUCCGAUCUCCCUUGAGCGUCGCUCAUAUUCCGGUUCCAGCAUUUCAACAUCAAGACGACAGUCGAGUCGACAAGAGGGAUGACAGCCGUAAGAAGAGAUCUUACGACGACAGAAGCUCAGGACUUGAUGUGCAGUGGAA